RNAcentral lists this ribosomal RNA (305 nucleotides) under uncultured bacterium. RNAcentral describes it as "bacterial SSU rRNA". It matches the Rfam family "Bacterial small subunit ribosomal RNA", at positions 338 to 640 of the family's 1533-position model. The record is from RNAcentral.
CCUACGGGGGGCAGCAGUGAGGAAUAUUGGUCAAUGGCCUGAAGGCUGAACCAGCCAAGCCGCGUGAAGGACGAAGGUGCCAAGCAUUGUAAACUUCUUUUGUCAAGGGACAAAAUCAGGCUCGAGAGCCUGACCGAGGGUACUUGAAGAAAAAGCAUCGGCUAACUCCGUGCCAGCAGCCGCGGUAAUACGGAGGAUGCGAGCGUUAUCCGGAUUUAUUGGGUUUGAAGGGUGCGUAGGCGGAUUGAUAAGUUAGAGGUGAAAUGUCCGAGCUCAACUCGGGAACUGCCUCUAAUACUGUUGAU